GAUGAACGCUAGCGACAGGCUUAACACAUGCAGGUCGAGGGGCAGCACGGUGUAGCGAUACACUGGUGGCGACCGGCGCACGGGUGAGUAACACGUGUACAACCAACCCCGUACCGGGAGAUAACCCGCGGAAACGUGGACUAACAUCCCAUGAUACUCGAGAGCCGCAUGGCUCUAGAUUUAAAAUUCCGGUGGUACGGGACGGGCACGCGCGACAUUAGGUAGUUGGCGGGGUAAGGCCCACCAAGCCGACGAUGUCUAGGGGUUCUGAGAGGAAGGUCCCCCACACUGGAACUGAGACACGGUCCAGACUCCUACGGGAGGCAGCAGUGAGGAAUACUGGUCAAUGGGCGAGAGCCUGAACCAGCCAAGUCGCGUGAGGGACGAAUGGUCUAUGGCCUGUAAACCUCUUUUGUCAAGGAAGAAUAAAUCGCACGGGUGCGAUCUUGCCAGUACUUGACGAAUAAGCAUCGGCUAACUCCGUGCCAGCAGCCGCAGU
RNAcentral lists this ribosomal RNA (499 nucleotides) under uncultured bacterium. RNAcentral describes it as "bacterial SSU rRNA". It matches the Rfam family "Bacterial small subunit ribosomal RNA", at positions 28 to 521 of the family's 1533-position model. The record is from RNAcentral.